Molecule: ribosomal RNA, 253 nt
Filed under: uncultured bacterium
Lineage: Bacteria
Description: partial 16S ribosomal RNA
Rfam family: Bacterial small subunit ribosomal RNA
Source: RNAcentral
GACAGAGGGUGCAAACGUUGUUCGGAAUUACUGGGCGUAAAGCGCGUGUAGGCGGCUUCGCAAGUCGGGUGUGAAAGCCCUGGGCUCAACCUAGGAAGUGCACUCGAAACUGCAAAGCUGGAGUCCUGGAGAGGAAGGCGGAAUUCUCGGUGUAGAGGUGAAAUUCGUAGAUAUCGAGAGGAACACCGGUGGCGAAGGCGGCCUUCUGGACAGUGACUGACGCUGAGACGCGAAAGCGUGGGGAGCAAACAGG